AUACGGAGGAUGCGAGCGUUAUCCGGAUUUAUUGGGUUUAAAGGGUGCGUAGGCGGGCUGUUAAGCGUGAGGUGAAAGCUCGGGGCUCAACCCCGGAACUGCCUCGCGAACUGGCGGUCUUGAAUGUCCGUGCCGUGGGAGGAAUGUGUGGUGUAGCGGUGAAAUGCAUAGAGAUCACACAGAACACCGAUUGCGAAGGCAGCUCACGAACGGAUGAUUUACGCUGAGGCACGAAAGCGUUGGGAUCAAACAGGAUUAGAUACCCUGGUAGUCCACGCAGUAAACGAUGAUAACUAGCCGCUGGGCAUUCGUGUUCAGUGGCCAAGCGAAAGCGAUAAGUUAUCCACCUGGGGAGUACGACCGCAAGGUUGAAACUCAAAGGAAUUGACGGGG
Molecule: ribosomal RNA, 393 nt
Filed under: uncultured bacterium
Lineage: Bacteria
Description: partial 16S ribosomal RNA
Rfam family: Bacterial small subunit ribosomal RNA
Source: RNAcentral